CCGGCUGCACCUUGGUGGGUGGUAGUCGGCGGAGCUUCUGCCGCGGCCGAGGGCAACAGGCGCUUCAUGCCCAGCCGCCCGUUGUCGGAACCGGAGUCCGAAAGUUAGUGCCUUUGAACUACAAAGCAGAAGCUUGAUUUGCAGUAGGGCGACCAUGUAGUCUGGAUUUACCUGAUUUCAAAUAUCUGGGCGGCUGCUGACCUAGGUAUCUUCUGUGGAGAAGGGCAUAAUCACCACGUGAACAUUUUAGAAGGUUGGGAAAAAUUUUCCAAACCGGCUAUAAAACAUGGACACACUGGGAAAAUGGUGGUUAAUGAAAAAUAACUCUGUAACCCCUCACCAUAAAUAUGAAACAUCUGGAAGGUUUCCCACAGUAAUUGGCCCGGAAGCAUCCUAACUUAAUGGCCGUGUUUUUUCAAUGGGAGACUGAAUUCCAUAGGGAAUUCCGCAGGGAAUUUAAUUGUGCAAACAUUUGUUGAGUACCUACUAUGUCCUAGGUGAUGGGAAAUUAUUACCUCGUUAUUGCUGUGUGGAAAGCAUUCCAGAAAAUUAAAAUUACUGCGCUUUCCAGAAUUUAAAUAUGGAAACCAUAGAAAAAUUGCUCUUUUUGUUACUGUUACCUCCCCCAUCUCCUAGUGACUGGGCUUUAGUCAGGAAGUAUUGGGAAUGAGGGUGGAAGCAGGAUGAAUAUGCUUUUCUCAAUUUUUUCACUUUUAAAGAAUAUCUGCAAAAACUGAAGUAUUUCUGUAGUGUAGGUUAUACGUUUAAUCAUGUGAACUUAGAAUUGUAUGCUUGCAAGGAAUGACUGGCCAGUAUCCAUGCCAGUAGAACAACAGAACGCUGAGAUUUGGAAAGAGUAAGAAGAUUAUAAUUUUAAAAGCCUUGCUCUCUUUAUAGAGUUGCAAAACAAUUCCACAUUCAUAUUUUGUACUUUACCUUAAAAUAAAAGAUUGUACGUGCAGAACUUCAUGAGUAAAUCCUGUCACGUUCAGCUAAGAGCAAUAGCACUGCAAAUUUUUUCCAAAAGGAAAUAGGCCAUCGUUUCAAGGCCAUGUGUAGUUGCCAGCCAUGAUGACAUUUAGCUGUAUCCCAACCAAAGUUAUAAUUUCUGAAAAAAACAAAUUACUACCUUUAUCUUUUUCUUUCUUUCUUUUAAUGUAUGAACUAGAUAAAAUGUAUUACUUGAAAAUGUUUAAUAUUCACAUCUGACAUUUAUAUUAUGUACUUAUUCCAAAAAUAAACUUCACAAACAAAUAUCAUUUGCUUCCUUGACCUAUAAGAAAAAUGUUGCUCCCUCUAUGUGGUAGAUAUUUUUAAGUUACAUCUUAUUAUUUAAAACAUAUUACUGUGAAUGACUUUUUCUCUUUUCAAAUGGUAAUGAGAUGUAACUUUCUAAAAUGAGUGUUCAGUUUGAAAUUGCCAAUAUCCAACCAUUUUUUACUUAUCAAAAUAGCAGUUUCAUGUGGUUCAAUCAAAUGGGUAGACAAUAUCGAUAAUGAGUAAGUGAAAUGAAAAGAGCAGAGGAGAAAGUACUUAUAACUAUUGUGCAAAAAUGUAUGAUGUACAAAAAAAUUGCAAUUUGUAGUUACACAGAUGAAGUAAAAUGAUCACAAGAUUCAUUUUUACCCCUGUCAAAUUGCUUGAGUUCACAGUGAACCAAGAAUUUGUUUUCUUUUGAGCCUCAGAAAAAAACCUCUUUUUUAAAAAACAACAAAUUAAGAAAAUAUACCAAAUGUAGUGAUCCAUGGGUCCUUGGAAUUUUAACUGUGUUUAUAUAUCCUUCUCUGUAUAUAUCAGAAUAAGUAUCCCAUUGCCGUCGAUUCCAACUUAUACCUACCCUAUAGGACAGAGUAGAACUGCCCACAUAUGUCUUCCAAGGCUGUAAUCUUUACAGAAGCUGACCGCCUCAUCUUUCUCCCGAGGAUUAGCUGGGGGGUUCUCAACUGCUACCCUUUCGGUUAGCAGUUGAGUACUUAAUCACUGUUGCCACCAGGGCUCCCUAGAAUAAGUAUAGCCAUCCAAAAUUUUGCAUUUUGACUCUGUCCCUGUGCCACUUAAGAGUUAAGGUACUACUGUUAAAUACAUUUCAUCUCCAAUUUUACCUCAAUCUAAUGGGAGCCUCCAAAACUAGGCCUAGCAGUCUAAUCAGCAUUUUAAUUGGAACUGUGUUUACUAGUAUGGUGUAAAUUUUUUUUUACCCGCUCAAAAUAGUUUUAUCAUAAAAUCAUUUACAUAAUGGUUUCUUUUGAUGCUAUCUUCUAUGAGAUUUUUAUCUCAGAUAAAUAUCCACAAAUAAGUUAAUUUUUAAAAUCAGAAUGCAAAAGUGGUAAAUUAUGAAUAUGCUUAUAUUAAAAAUAUUUAAAUAAAAUACAAAAAAAAUCUUAUUGUUACAUAGUAUCAUUGGCUUUGACAUCAUUGUAUGGUGCGAGAUUAUAGUGAUAUGAAGCUUAUAAUACUAUUUCACAUUUUUAUCCACUAAAUAAAAACCUGCCCUGUGUUUUAUUACAAAGUAGGUGGCCUGAAGGAAAAUAUAUGUAUUCUUUCCUUUUGGUAUAAAAUAUGCAUUUGGGCUUCUCAUUUCAUCCCCAAUCUGUGUUAUUCCUUAAAAAUGCAGAACUGCCUGAAGUCCUCUUUAAUAUUUAAUUCAACAACUUUUUAAUCUGUCAUUAUGCUGUGAUGAAGUAAGCAUCAAGUGUCGCUGGAAAAGAUUAAAUUAUACUUGGAAAUAGGAAUUGAAAUGAUUUAGGGUUGGAAGCUGAAUAUUUGCUUUGCACAAGUAAUAAUAAUAGUAGCUUGGGUGAAGAAGGGCUUUGGUUUGGCUUUAAUGUCUUUGCCUUGCUGUGCUCCCCUGUGGCUCCCCCUGAUUUACGCUGGCAUUACUGGGCUUUAUUUUAUUUAAAUGGAGGUAGAAAGUGGAAAUUACUACGCUACAAUACAUUAAUUACUCUGUACUAUUUCUUUGUACUGAUUUCCCUUUUUUCUGUAAACAUCAUAAACAAUGAUGCAACCUACCCCAAUGGAUAGCAGCUGUAAGCAAUCCUGUAGUUCUUGUUAACAAGCUUAUCUUAUAAAGGAAAAGCAGUAAUAAUAUCCAUCUGUGGAAUAAAGGAUAGUGAGAAGCAAAGGAACAUUUAUGCUUUCCUUGUCAUAGAGGAUGAAGUCCUACAUGAGAGUAAGUUGUGACAGUAUGUGUUAAUAUUCUAACCACUGCUUUUUACUUCUUGCUUUUAAGUCUGAACUUUCAUGUGUGGACUAUUUUGCACUUAGGGACAAAGGUAUAAAUUUUUAGAUCUCUUAGCGACUCUUGGGUUGUUCAACGGGUGACAAAUAAAGACUAACAUAUUUGGAGUCCUUGGUCUCUGCACACCUUCAGAUCUUCUAUCAUAUGGAAAUCUUUCUGGUAGUCUCUAGCUGCUUAGGCUGAUUUUUAACCUAGUUCUAUAGCUCUGGCUACAUGAGGCCAAAGCAAUCAGCAGUUUAGUGGAGAAAACUAAUUGAGAAAUUAUUUGAUCACAUACACAAAAGAGCCCCAUGUGGUUGUUCGAAAGAAUGCUUAUUUCAAUUUUCCUGUAAUGCCUGUGUGUUGAUGGCUUACAUGUGUACUCUGGCCAUGUUUGUAAUGAUUGUCUUCAAAACAUAUCUUCACUUGUCAUGAUUUGGCAUGAUGACAGUCCUUUUCAAAAUAAGUCUGGAUAUAGACUAAAACCUUGACAUGCAGCACACCUGUUGGAAUAUUCACUCCCAGAAAUCCACUGUAUCUGUAUUUCAGAUGUCCUCUUAUUUAGCAUCAUGUCCUGUCCUAGAACAAUAACAGAAAGAGCCUCUUUACUCUUUUUAAACAUUUCUUUCAAAUGAGAAUGUAGACUUACUGUAGGUUCAGAAUUAUGUAUUAACUCCUCAGAAUUUUUUUUUUUAAAGUUGGCAAAAUAUUUUUAGGCUCACGAAGUUUUUGUUACCCUUUUCUAAUACAGUCAUGCGCCACAUGUUAGUUCGGGAAGGAUUGGAUCGCAUAUACGUUCCUGGUCUUGUGCUUCCUCCGGGGGAUGCCCACAGCCCAAGUCAGCAGCAAGCCCACGUUGCAGCCCCUCACCUGCGGGAACAGGAGCCCCUGCCGCUGGCCUACCAAAGAUUUUUGAUGUGCAGAUAUUUAUUGGCUACCAUAAUUGUGAUGGCUAUAAUACUUUUUAUUCUUAAACAUGAAAAAGAACAUUAGAAAGGUACGUAUUUGAAAUUUUUAUUACUUUUCUAUUUUUAUUCAAAUGUUCAUCAUACAGCAGUGAGAAGGUACACAAAUAAUAUUUUCAUGCAUGCAAAAUAAUUUAGAAAGCAGUAUGAAUCUCAGCAGGUGUUUCUUCCAUGUCUGUUCUCAAAUUCCCAGGGAACCUUGAAUAUUAAAUUGAAAUAACCCUCCCUUGAUAUUAUGAAGCUAAAGUUCAGUUUAAUUCUCAGGUAAGGUUUUUCUGGACACAUCAUUUUCCUUUCAUGUAAAUAAAAAUCAGAGUCCUUAGAUUUUAAUACUUGCUGCCUUAAAAAGUAAAUCAAAGUGCUGCUAAGUACUCGCUUAUUUCCUUAGUGCUUUUAUUAAGACAUUUCUGUUACCACUAAAUAUAUGGAUUAUAGGGAUGCUGUAAAAAUGUUCUUAUUUCCUUCUCCACUGGUUGAUGAAAUGGGUUAAUCUCUCAAUAGAGCCAUUUCCUUAAUUCACCACCUGUUUUCAAAUCUCUAGUAAUCGACAGGGUAAGCAGAUAGAUUCCUCUGUGUGUGCCUUUUAUACCUAUUUCACAGAGAUAGACAUAGAAUAAAAAAGUAAGAAAAAAAUCUUCCUUGAAUUUUUUUAGGUAAGUUGUUCCACAUUACUAAAAAGCUGCCAUAUUUAAAUUAUCAUUCAGUAACUCAAUUAUGUAGCUUACCUGGCAUCCUUUCAAUGAGAUUUUCAACUCAAAAGGGCAUACCGCUACAUAAACUGUAUUUAUUACCCUUUUUUAAAAACUGUUCAGUUCCUUAGCAUCAUAUUGUGAUAAUAUGAUAGAGAUUUAACUAAUGCAAAUUUUAUAUUUUUUAUUAAGAAACAAAGGAAUUGAUUUUGUAUUUGUAAAACUAAAUGUGUGCUUGGCUGUUAUGGCUGGAAUGUCUCAACUGUAUAUAAGUAAUCAUUUAUUGUUUAAAUACAGUAGAGGCUGUAACAAAAUGCUGUCAAGAGCCAUCACACUCAUUAACCUGCAAGCUAAUUAGCCUCCUCCUGCCUGAUUGCUGACAAGUUCUUCAAUCUGAACCCGUUGCUGUUGUGUCAGCAGAGAAGCACAGAGUGAGGCAGAGGAGGUCUCCAUUAGAUGUUUGUGAACAAAGUCUCUGCACUAAAGGUUUGUUUUUUACACUCUAACAAAUGUUAGAGCAUUCAUAUCCCCAGCUAUGAUUAAAUCGGCAACUCUUAAUUACUGUAAUUAGUAUAUUAACUGUUUCCUUUCCUGUUCAUCUAUAAUUGAUUUCAAGAAAUUACAUGUAAUUUAAUGUGAUUUAAAAAAUUUAAUCAUUGUUAAAAGGUUUUAAUAGUUCAAUGUAUAUCUAAAUGCUAUUGAAUAUUUGAAAUAAUAUGCAUAAUAAAAUCACUUAAGUGCAGUGUGCUGUCAAAACCAGUAUAUACGGGCUUUAUAUUCACAUGCCCUUUUUUUUCUAUACAAACAUGACAUUCAUUCCCCCAUUAGAUUUUUCCCUCCCUCUAGUAGGCUAAGAUUUCUUAACUAGGUUGCAAAUUACAAUUGGAAUGAUAGAACAUUUUACAAAAGCAUCUUAAAAUAUGAAUUCAUUACUUUGUGGAAGACUAAUUCAUUUAGAAUAGCUUCUUGAGGGCAAAAAACAUUCAUAAGAUAUUUUGCUUGUUAUACCAUCCGAUCAAGCUCAAGACGAUAGAGAUUACCAGAAAAAAUAAGAGUACUUUUUUAGAUUGGCAGAUGUUCUGAGAACAAAUUGAUGAAGUCUCUUCUGAAAUUUCAGUAUUAUCACUGUUACCUUUUUCUGGCAAAUAUUAUUAUUUUGAUUUUAAAGUAUUUGAAUUAUCUUCAACAAAUUGGAGGACUAAACUGUUCUAAAAUGUCACACACACCAGCAAAAUGUAUUCACAUGUCGGAAAAAAACAUGUAUGAAAAUCUAUUGUACUUCUAGUUUAUGUAGGGAAAACUGCUGUUUGAGAGUAUCUGAUUUAAAAGUACUGGAUUGCAGUAAGAAACGGCAUCAAAGUUUAUGGGAGCUUUCCAUACAAGUGUAUGUUUACUCUGUAUUGGACAUGGCCAGGAUUGUCAUUUGUAUAGCAUCUUGUAAAGAUCUUAAUCUGUAUGAAUAUAUAUUUACCACUAGCCAGUUUUAACUAAGCCCUAAUUAAGGAUCUGAUGUUGUAAAUAAAAUUUAAAAUAUAUUAAUUUCAUUUAAUCAUUCUUACAAUAAUUAAGAUAUUAAUGUGACUUACUUCAACUUUCAUUAGCUUACAGAUGGCAACCAUUUUAUGAAGAACUACCCAGCUCACUACAAAAUACAUCAUCCUUUAAUGGACAUGGCCUUUUAACUGCAGUGGCCUAGAAAUAAGCAUUCUAACUCGAGCCUCAAGCCAACUGUACAUAAGUGUGAUGGAAUAAUAUAUUAUGAAGUCCUUCUUGCACUAUAGCUCCUUGGGCCUGUGGUUUCCUGGUCAGGAAAGACAUAUUUGUAGCUUCUAAGACAGUAUUUUGACAGUUUCUAUAAUAUAAUUGAUCAAUUGGGAACUACUUACUGUUCUCACCAAUAAGGAUGUCCUUUCACCGCCAUUCCCCAUCUCUACCCCAACUUCUCCAGCACAGCCUGAUCCUCAGAGAAGAAAAACGCCCCCUUCCCAAAUUUUUCAUAAUCUCCUUUAGAAUGUGAAGCAACUUAAAUUUUAGGGAAUUUAGUGUUAUAAUGAUUCACAUUUGCUUUAGAGAGUAAAUAAAAUGAAUGUAGGGGCCUUUUGAAUUUUAGGAUCCAUUUGAGAAUCACUGGGUCAUUUAUAUUAGAGUUUGUAACCAUAAUAUCAGAGUCUUAACUAAAUUCUGAACUUGUUGAGAGAUGGAAACCUAUGGAACAUCUAGCUCACUCCUCUCAUUUUAUAGAUAAGGGAAAUGAGACUCGGGAGAUCCAGCUUGCCCAUGGCGAUACUGCCAAAUAGUACAGCAGAUAUGAUGUGAGGAUCCAGAUCCUCGGACUUCUACUCUAGUGUUCUAAAUUUUAUAAAUUCAGAUUGUAGUGGAUUGAUUUAAUACUUCCUUUUAGAUACAUAUGAUUUGUAUUAUAGUUACUUUAUAUUGAAUGUGAAAUUUGGUUAAGGUAUAUGAGUACAAUUUUUUUGCUUAAAGUGGAUGAUCAAAGUCAGGUAAAACAGUAAGUCUUUGUAAAGAACACAUGAGUAAUAAAAUAGAAGUGGCUGAAUUUGGAACUGAUUUGUACAAAAAAAAAAAAAA
Molecule: long non-coding RNA, 7463 nt
Organism: Trichechus manatus latirostris (Florida manatee)
Lineage: Eukaryota; Metazoa; Chordata; Mammalia; Sirenia; Trichechidae
Exons: 2
Source: RefSeq, a predicted model, not a curated record